AUUGAACGCUGGCGGCAGGCCUAACACAUGCAAGUCGAACGAGUGGCGGACGGGUGAGUAAUGUCUGGGAAACUGCCCGAUGGAGGGGGAUAACUACUGGAAACGGUAGCUAAUACCGCAUACCAUCGGAUGUGCCCAGAUGGGAUUAGCUUGUAGGUGAGGUAACGGCUCACCUAGGCGACGAUCCCUAGCUGGUCUGAGAGGAUGACCAGCUACACGGGAAAUGAGAAACGGUCCAGACUCGUAGGGUAGUCAGCAGGGGGGAGUAUUGCGCAAUGGGCGCAAGCCGGAUGCAGCCACGGCGCGGGUAUGAAGAGGGCCUUCGGGAUGUAAAUUAGUUUCAGCGGGGCGGCGUUACCCGCAGCAGAAGCCCCGGCUAACUCCGGGCCAGGAGCCUCGGUAUUGC
RNAcentral lists this ribosomal RNA (406 nucleotides) under uncultured bacterium. RNAcentral's name for it is "partial 16S ribosomal RNA". It matches the Rfam family "Bacterial small subunit ribosomal RNA", at positions 29 to 526 of the family's 1533-position model. The record is from RNAcentral.